This 80-nucleotide ribosomal RNA is filed under the name Escherichia coli. RNAcentral's name for it is "partial 23S ribosomal RNA". Lineage: Bacteria; Pseudomonadati; Pseudomonadota; Gammaproteobacteria; Enterobacterales; Enterobacteriaceae. The record is from RNAcentral.
GGGUUGUGAGGUUCAGCGACUAAGCGUACACGGUGGAUGCCCUGGCAGUCAGAGGCCAUGAAGAACGUGCUAACCUGCGA